UUGCCGUGACGACCAUUUAGGACACCUUUGUACAACCCAUGAAAAGAAUACAUCAUCUGAGCAGU
Molecule: small nucleolar RNA, 65 nt
Organism: Chanos chanos (milkfish)
Lineage: Eukaryota; Metazoa; Chordata; Actinopteri; Gonorynchiformes; Chanidae
Product: small nucleolar RNA SNORD58
Exons: 1
Source: RefSeq, a predicted model, not a curated record